GACGACCGCUUGCGUCGUGCUUACCACAUGCAAGUCCAACGGGCAGGCCCUGCUUUUUUAGGGUGCUCGGGUUGCGAUCGGUUGCAUAGCGCUGGAGUGACCUUCCUGUCACUUUGCGGUUACGUCUGUUAACUGGGGCUGAUACCGGCUCGGAGCUCCUGCUGCAUUCUGGCGGUUGGGCAGUUUCGGCGGUGGGGGUUGGACUCUCGGCUUAUCAGCUUGUUGGUGGGGUAGUGGGUUACCAAGGCUUUGAAGGGUAGCGGGCCUGAGAGGGUGACCGGCCACAUUGGGACUGAGAUACGGAACAGAAUCCUACGGGAGGCAGCAGUGGGGAAUAUUGCAUAAUGGGGGGAAGCCUGAUGAAGCAACGCCGGGGGCGGGAUGAAGGCCUUCGGGUUGUAAACCGCUGUCGCCUGUGACGAAGCGUGAGUGACGGUAAUGGGUAAAGAAGAAACGGCUAACUACGUG
RNAcentral lists this ribosomal RNA (468 nucleotides) under uncultured bacterium. RNAcentral's name for it is "partial 16S ribosomal RNA". It matches the Rfam family "Bacterial small subunit ribosomal RNA", at positions 28 to 507 of the family's 1533-position model. The record is from RNAcentral.